Molecule: non-coding RNA, 29 nt
Filed under: Mus musculus (house mouse)
Lineage: Eukaryota; Metazoa; Chordata; Mammalia; Rodentia; Muridae
Source: RNAcentral
UGGUUCACCUAUUUCCACAGCCUCAAUGU